This is a transfer RNA of 98 nucleotides. It matches the Rfam family "tRNA". Rfam says of the family: Transfer RNA (tRNA) molecules are approximately 80 nucleotides in length. Their secondary structure includes four short double-helical elements and three loops (D, anti-codon, and T loops). The record is from Rfam.
GCCCUGGUAGCUCAAUUGGUUAGAGCGUCGGACUUUUAUUGGCCUUGUGCUUAUGAAGAGUUAUCCGAAGGCUGCGGGUUCGACCCCCGCCUGGGGCG